GAAAUGUUUAUAGUACUGAUUAAGUACAUUUUCCCCAAUUUAUGUCUUUAUGCCAAAAUUCAGUUGAGGAGGUGACUUCCCCCUGCACCCAGGUGGUUUGCUGAUGUGUCCUGCCAAAUGCAUGUGCACCUAUGCAUGCUUUGUGCUCCAAGUUAAGGAGAACUCCUCUGGCCAGGAGAGUAAGAACUGUUUCAGUGACAACUGGGAGAACUCCCUUGGAUACAGGAAAGUAAGGCAGAGCACACCUGAGUUCUGUGUUGGUUUAGGGCUUUUCAGAACUGUGUACAGAAGAACAAAGAUCUGAGACUUACUCUGUUUUACUGACGUUUUCAUAUUAGUAGAAGUAAAUGGCACAGUGGUGUAAUUCAAUACUGCUGCCAUCUUCAAAUAAUAUUUGAAAUUAUAACAAAUGACAUUUUCAGGGAAAAUAAUUUAAAAUGGCUUUGAUUUUAGAUUUGUGUGUCUUUGUUUAAUGGAGGAGAGUAAACAGUGCACUGUUUUCCAUUGUUCCUAGUACUCAUACAAUAAAGAUGGCAUUUCAUGCUGGUUGACAUUUGAAA
Molecule: long non-coding RNA, 560 nt
Organism: Pezoporus occidentalis (night parrot)
Lineage: Eukaryota; Metazoa; Chordata; Aves; Psittaciformes; Psittacidae
Exons: 2
Source: RefSeq, a predicted model, not a curated record